UAUGGAGUAUUUCCUAUGGGAAAGAGGGAAGUUCCGCCGUGAAUCUUAUUGGCGUUCCUUAGGUCCACCUUUUACCAAAAAAAAGUUGACGCAAAUUAUAUUGGAUCAAGAUGGGAAACUAGUGGUAAUUGUACCGGUUUUGAAAUGCCUUUCCAAAAGCAGAAGAAAUGUAUAAUAGAUAUUAGUUCAAACUCAAGUGUUUGUAAUGGCCGUAGCGAAAGAUUUGUCCCAUGUCAUGAUAAAACAAAGUCUGAGAUAACAUCGAAGUUGGCUAACAAUCAUAUGUGCAACGAACUUCUAAAUCAUUUCUUACAUGGGCUAAAGAUAUUCAGAUACUUUAAAAAUAAAGAUUCUUGCAAACUUCAAUGCAGACCGCAAUGUAAAUAUUUUGUGGGAAAGGGG
This is a long non-coding RNA of Gordionus sp. m RMFG-2023, 402 nucleotides long. RefSeq lists it as uncharacterized. The transcript is spliced from 5 exons. The record is from RefSeq and is a predicted model, not a curated record. NCBI's taxonomy places the organism in Eukaryota, Metazoa, Nematomorpha, Gordioida, Chordodea, Parachordodidae.